AUACGGAGGGUGCAAGCGUUAUUCGGAAUCACUGGGCGUAAAGGACGCGUAGGCGGGUUGGCAAGUCAGAUGUGAAAUCCUACAGCUUAACUGUAGAACUGCAUUUGAAACUGCUAACCUAGAGUAUGGGAGGGGGAGAUGGAAUUAGUGGUGUAGGGGUAAAAUCCGUAGAUAUCACUAGGAAUACCGAAAGCGAAGGCGAACUCCUGGAACAUAACUGACGCUAAGGCGUGAAAGCGUGGGGAGCAAACAGGAUUAGAAACCCUAGUAGUCC
Molecule: ribosomal RNA, 274 nt
Filed under: uncultured bacterium
Lineage: Bacteria
Description: partial 16S ribosomal RNA
Rfam family: Bacterial small subunit ribosomal RNA
Source: RNAcentral